Molecule: non-coding RNA, 86 nt
Submitted as: unclassified sequences
Source: Rfam
UCGCACAUCUGGUGUGAGACUUAUGCGGAUAAAACCGCGUAGCCAGGAGAACUGGCAUUGGACUCCUUUAAAGGAGAAAACAAAUG